Molecule: ribosomal RNA, 391 nt
Filed under: uncultured prokaryote
Description: partial 16S ribosomal RNA
Source: RNAcentral
CCCUAUGGGGUGCUGCGGGGGGCUUCCGGCGGUCACUGCGACACCGCGGCAGGGGCGAAGCUGUCCAUCGUCGUGGCUCCCUCCUUCCGGGGCGGGGUCCCGACGAUCAAGGACCGGGUCCAGACCGUCGUGACCCCGGGUGAGACUGUGGAUGCCAUCGUCACGGAGCGGGGCAUCUGCCUCAACCCGAACCGGGCGGAUCUCUGGGCGGCGGCCCGGAAAGCCAACCCCCCGGUGAAGGAGAUCGGGGAGCUCAAGAGGGAAGUCGAGCGUUGCACCGGCGUGCCCGAACCGGUCGAGAUGGACACGGACCGGGUCGUCGCCGUCGUGGAGUACCGGGAUGGGACCCUGCUCGACAGCAUUUACCGGGUGAAGGAAUUGGCGGGAGAGC